GUAUAUAUACAUGUGUAUAUAUAUGUGUGUGUGUAUAUAUAUACACACACAUAUACAUACACAUAUAUAUACGUAUAUAUAUAUACACACACAUAUAUACAUACACAUAUAUACGUA
This 117-nucleotide microRNA precursor is filed under the name Procavia capensis (Cape rock hyrax). Its description in RNAcentral is "miRNA (ENSPCAG00000019948.1)". Lineage: Eukaryota; Metazoa; Chordata; Mammalia; Hyracoidea; Procaviidae. The record is from RNAcentral.